ACAACGAAGAGUUUGAUCCUGGCUCAGGAUGAACGCUAGCGACAGGCUUAACACAUGCAAGUCGAGGGGCAGCGGGGGAGGAGCAAUCCUCCCGCCGGCGACCGGCGCACGGGUGAGUAACACGUAUGUAACCUGCCCGUAGCAGGGGGAUAAGCGGAAGAAAUUCCGUCUAAUACCGCGUAACAUCCUCCGGAGGCAUCUCCGGGGGAUUAAAGGAAGCGAUUCCGGCUACGGAUGGACAUGCGUCGCAUUAGCUAGUUGGCGGGGUAACGGCCCACCAAGGCGACGAUGCGUAGGGGUUCUGAGAGGAAGGUCCCCCACACUGGUACUGAGACACGGACCAGACUCCUACGGGAGGCAGCAGUGAGGAAUAUUGGUCAAUGGCCGAGAGGCUGAACCAGCCAAGUCGCGUGAGGGAAGACGGCCCUAUGGGUUGUAAACCUCUUUUGUCGGGGAGCAAAGAGCCCGACGUGUCCGGCCUCGAGAGUACCCGAAGAAAAAGCAUCGGCUAACUCCGUGCCAGCAGCCGCGGUAAUACGGAGGAUGCGAGCGUUAUCCGGAUUUAUUGGGUUUAAAGGGUGCGCAGGCGGGAUGUCAAGUCAGCGGUAAAAUUUCGGGGCUCAACCCCGUCGUGCCGUUGAAACUGGCGUCCUAGAGUGGGCGAGAAGUAUGCGGAAUGCGUGGUGUAGCGGUGAAAUGCAUAGAUAUCACGCAGAACUCCGAUUGCGAAGGCAGCAUACCGGCGCCCGACUGACGCUCAUGCACGAAAGCGUGGGUAUCGAACAGGAUUAGAUACCCUGGUAGUCCACGCAGUAAACGAUGAAUA
RNAcentral lists this ribosomal RNA (826 nucleotides) under Duncaniella sp. RNAcentral describes it as "bacterial SSU rRNA". It matches the Rfam family "Bacterial small subunit ribosomal RNA", at positions 1 to 815 of the family's 1533-position model. The record is from RNAcentral. Lineage: Bacteria; Pseudomonadati; Bacteroidota; Bacteroidia; Bacteroidales; Muribaculaceae.